This 460-nucleotide ribosomal RNA is filed under the name uncultured bacterium. RNAcentral describes it as "partial 16S ribosomal RNA". It matches the Rfam family "Bacterial small subunit ribosomal RNA", at positions 338 to 795 of the family's 1533-position model. The record is from RNAcentral.
CCUACGGGAGGCAGCAGUGAGGAAUAUUGGUCAAUGGGCGUAAGCCUGAACCAGCCAAGUCGCGUGAGGGAUGAAGGUUCUAUGGAUCGUAAACCUCUUUUAUAAGGGAAUAAAGUGUGGGACGUGUCCUGUUUUGUAUGUACCUUAUGAAUAAGGAUCGGCUAACACCGUGCCAGCAGCCGCGGUAAUACGGAGGAUCCGAGCGUUAUCCGGAUUUAUUGGGUUUAAAGGGUGCGUAGGCGGCCUUUUAAGUAAGCGGUGAAAGUCUGUGGCUAAACCAUAGAAUUGCCGUUGAAACUGGGAGGCUUGAGUAUGUUUGAGGCAGGCGGAAUGCGGGGUGUAGCGGUGAAAUGCUGAGAUAUCACGCAGAACCCCGAUUGCGAAGGCAGCCUGCCAAGCCAUGACUGACGCUGAUGCACGAAAGCGUGGGGAUCAAACAGGAUUAGAUACCCCGGUAGUC